This 468-nucleotide ribosomal RNA is filed under the name uncultured bacterium. Its description in RNAcentral is "partial 16S ribosomal RNA". It matches the Rfam family "Bacterial small subunit ribosomal RNA", at positions 28 to 507 of the family's 1533-position model. The record is from RNAcentral.
GACGAACGCUGGCGGCGUGCUUAACACAUGCAAGUCGAACGGAAAGGCCCUGCUUUUGUGGGGUGCUCGAGUGGCGAACGGGUGAGUAACACGUGAGUAACCUGCCCUUGACUUUGGGAUAACUUCAGGAAACUGGGGCUCAUACCGGAUAGGAGCUCCUGCUGCAUGGUGGGGGUUGGAAAGUUUCGGCGGUUGGGGAUGGACUCGCGGCUUAUCAGCUUGUUGGUGGGGUAGUGGCUUACCAAGGCUUUGACGGGUAGCCGGCCUGAGAGGGUGACCGGCCACAUUGGGACUGAGAUACGGCCCAGACUCCUACGGGAGGCAGCAGUGGGGAAUAUUGCACAAUGGGCGGAAGCCUGAGGCAGCAACGCCGCGUGCGGGAUGACGGCCUUCGGGUUGUAAACCGCUUUCGCCUGUGACGAAGCGGGAGUGACGGUAAUGGGUAAAGAAGCACCGGCUAACUACGUG